Molecule: non-coding RNA, 7965 nt
Organism: Rattus norvegicus (Norway rat)
Lineage: Eukaryota; Metazoa; Chordata; Mammalia; Rodentia; Muridae
Source: RefSeq, a predicted model, not a curated record
AGCCCAGGGACUCUGAAGCAAGCUGCAGAGGGAACUCCAGUCUGUUGCGGCUGAUCGGGACUUGUGAAUCUCACAGCAUCUGUAUAGUCUCACCCAGAGUCUGCCCAAAAGCUGCCUGCAAGCCCUUUGCAUCUUUACCGAAGGCCUUCUGGGAGCUUCUGAGACACCAACUCAUAGCACAUGCCUUUAAAUGGGGGUCUGUUCAGAUACCCACAUUCCUCGUGUCUACACAAAGCCAUUAGAGUCUGUGGACUUUUCCUACAGGUAGUUCUCUGAGCCUUUAUUUAGGAUUAUUCUGAAUAGUUAGAAAAAUGAAUCAAGGACUUUAGUCCAGGCGAAGAGAGGUGGCAGGUCAUUAAACAAGAUUCACCUAUGGACACCAAAGGGCUCAGUCCACUUCUCCACUGUAGCCUUUGAUAAGUUACAAAUGUCAUUGUGCUACGGAUGGAGGCCACACCAGACAGAGGAAGGUCACUGGAAUAUAAAGCUACCUGAGACGUCAGAACCCUGGUCUCUGGUGCAGGGCAAGUGGCACUUGUGUCAGAGUAAGGAAAGGUCAGUCCUUUGAGGUCUUUAUCUGUCUGAUAGGCCUUCACCUUAAUGGGGUUGAGUUUCUCUUUGACUUCUUAUUGGGGCUGAUAAAGUUUGUGUGCCAGCGAGCUGUUAUGUUUACAAGCGACCCACAGACUCUGCAGGGAGAAACUCAGUGGGAGCUGGGUAGCCAAGAAGCACUGCUUGUCUGUUUGCCACCAAGACCCCUUCUUGUGCACUAAGGGCAAGCAUUUACCGGAAAGUCACUUUAAUUGGGAAGUAAACGUGUGUGUUAGUCAGUUUCCCACAACUACAACACAUUCCUGAGAUCAUCAGCCUAUGAAAAGACUUCUCUUGACUUUUUUUUUUUUUUGAGAUGUCAGUGUAAUAUUGAUUGACCCAUGGUUUCUGGACCGCAGCAAGGCAGCACAUGAUGGUGGAAAUGCAUGCAAGGCAGAGAAAACCCUUCCAAUGGCUGGGUGCAGACAAGUCAGGAAGAGCCUGGAGUCCAUAGUCCCAUUAAGAGCACACCUCUAAUGAUGACCCUUAGGCCUCACCAUUUCCAGUCUCUGCCCCUUCCCAUUAGUGCUCAGCUGGGGACGGAGCAGUCACUGUCAUCUUAAGGGUCAUGGUGGUCUUAAGGAGGUAUUUACUAUCUAAACUGUAGCAGCUUAGGUCUGUGUUUGCUGGCAGAAUAGACCCAUUCCUGUCCCAUAGCUGAGGACUUGCAGUCAUCACAAGGGGACUCAAGGCCUGAGAGUGUCCCCACACAUCUGUUCUCUUCUGCCCUAUAGCUGGCAUUGCAAAUGAAAUGGCCAGUCAGUCCAAUGGUCACGGCUUUGAACAUGGAAAGAACUUUUAGGGAUUGUCCCCGCUGGGCUUCCCAUCGGAGCGUUCAAAGCUGUCUGCUUUUGCCUGGUGUCAUCGAGGUGAGCAGGCCUCACACUCCCUGGGAUUUAUCUGAAGGCACACAUUUUGCUCCUGGGGCCUCCCACAUUGGCCCAGGUGGUUAGCCAGUGUCACAGUAUUCGCAUUUCCUGCUUCAAGAAAGUUUCUCCAUCAGUUUUUUUUCUUAAACUUGUGGUCUGAGGGUAUGUAGUUCAUUUCUAAUCUUCUACACACUGCAGAGAGUUCACCUUUUAAAAGGAAUCAUAUUUCCAAUCCCAGACAGGAUGGAGCAAUCUGUUGGGUUUGCUUUCUCUACUUGGACGACUGGACCGGAACACCACUCAGUGCAGGUGUCGGAUGUAAGACCAACAUUCGCUCUGACUUUCUGUCUGGGAAUGCCUCCUGAGCCUUGGCACAGAGGAGCAGAGACCACGAGAGAGCCCAGCAGAGGUGGGCGGGGCGGGGGCAGGGAGAAUUGAGCAUGCCGAGGUUGUUAGCAUUCGUGGUGAAGUGCACUGGAGAGAGAGAGAGAGAGAGAGAGAGAGAGAGAGAGAGAGAGAGAGAGAGAGAAAGGACAGUUCUGAGCAGGGAAAACAAGUGAGAAGUUUUUGAACUGCAGCCAUGGAGCAGAGUAAACACCAAGCUGUGUUCCCUCCGAGACUGGACCCGGAUUGCGGAAGGGAGCUGUGAGCAGGGAAUCAGGAGAGGGUAGAACCACACUGCUGACUCUUCUAACCUGCUGGAGUAGAGGGACCUACUGUACUCUUGGUCACCUACUUGGAGCCAUGGCGAGCUAAACACACCCCUUCUUAGGAGUUAGGUCUUAUGCCAGUCAACUGAAUAGUCCCGAUGAAACCCAAUAGUCUUUAGACAAAGUAUUAUCUGCUGUACCUACCAUACAAUAAAAUAAUCACGAGUUGAGAGGGCAAGGUGGUCAGGAGCAAAGAAAACUAGGUCAAUGGAUUGAUGCCAAAACCGUGCAAAGUGACCUGUAGGAGCUGACUCCAUGGGAUCCCUGUGGGUUGCCCUCCUGCCGUUAUGCUGGCACAAUCUUCCCCCACGUGUAUCAGACCCCCACCCCCCAGCUUUUCAGGCUCUGCUCACCUGUCCCCUUCUCAGAGAAGGCCAUCCCUAGUGCUGAGCAGGCUGUCCUUUGCAAAGCGUCCACCUGAGUAUUGCCAUUAGAGUUCCCCGUAGGGUCUAGUGAUAUCGAUGAGACAGCUAGUCAAAAAUAUUCAGUCACCUGACCAGAGGUAUCCAGCAAGCUUAGACCAGAAGUCCUGACUUUCCAUGAUGUAGCAUGAGGAGAAACGGGCCUCAUUUUUCAUAUGACACCUGCUCUCUUCUUGCUUUGGAAGUUUGGAAGUGUUGUCAGUGUGUGUCAGGCAAGUGCUCCACCACUGAGCUCCCCUCCAGCCCCUUCCACUGAGCUCCCCUUUAGCCCCACCCACUGAGCUCCCCUUUAGCCCCUCCCACUGAGCUCCUCUCCAGCCACUCCCACUGAGCUUCCCCCUAGCUCCUCCCACUGAGCCCCCUUCAGCCCCUCGCCCUGAGUUCCUCUCCAGCUCCUCCCACUGAGCCCCUCCAGCCCCUUCCACUGAGCUCACCUUUAGCCCCACCCACUGAGCUCUCCUCCAGCCCCUCCCACUGAGCCCUCUCCAGCCCCUCCCACUGAGCUCCCCUCAAGCCCCUCCCACUUUGAUUUUCGAAAUUUCACCACCUCCUGACACAUCAUACAUCUGCUUUUUGGCCCUCUCUAUCUUUGGAACAGGAGAAUGAGGAUUUGUCUUUGGCUGUUGACCACCAUGGAAUCUUUAGUACCAUGGCUGUGGCUGGAACUUAACAGUAGCCAAUAAAUAUUUGUUCCGUGAAUGAUUGCAACUAAAAUGUAGUGCCCACGGGUGCAGACUCUGGUAAUAAAUAUUCCUAAAUGAAAAUACUCAGCAUGGCAGCUUUGCUUUACCCUAUUUUGAAAACCUGUGUAACCAUGAAAGACCAUUUUUAGUUAAAGGUUUUUGAGGGGUUGAAGACAUAGCUCAGAGAUGAGGGGCUCACAUUUGUCUUGCAAAGGACAAGUUCGGUUCCUGGAACCCAUGUUGGGUUUCAUGGGUAACUUACAGCCAUCCGUAACUCUGGCUCCACGGAUCUGGGAUUCUCUUCUGGUCUCCAUGGAUACCUGCACUCACAGGCACAAACGUGCAUAAUUUUUACUCUUGAUAUUGUUGGGAUAAGGGUAGAGUUUAGUGGUAUGGUGCUUGCCUAGAAUAUGCAAGUUUCUGGGGUUUGGUGCCCAGCUUCCCAAAACAAGUAAAGAGAUUUGAUAUUGUUUUGAACAUUAAGGUAGCACAUGUCUGUCAGAUGGACACUUGGGUGCCCCACCAUCUUUUGCAAAGUACCUUCUGUACAUGAUGUAAGUUACCUGUGCAAAGCUACACAGAUGAGCUAAAGCCAGCGUAUUCUGUAAUGGGAAAUACAUCCUGUUACGGAGUUUCCACACGGGCUAUGUGGCAAGGCAGUCUUUGGAGUCUGGUGUUUAUAAGAUUUUACAUUUGAUAGGACAAGUUUGGGAAGAGUGGUCUACGUGUUCAGGGUCUGUUAGGGAGGCAAGAUGGAUGGGGAUAGAGAUUGGGACCAGCCCAGCAUCAGUCAGACCUGAAAUGUCUCGAAAGGCUGAAGAAGGGCCCUGCUAGUCCUAGGACUAAGGGACUGACAGAUCCAGAAGGAUCCAGACAGGAUAAAAAUGAAGUGCAGGGCUCCGCAGGGACCUUGGGCUAGCCUGAUUUAAUUGUCAGGGUCCAGCAUAUUUAACAUAAGCCACCUAGAGAGGCAGGAUACCCGACUGGAGAUGUGAAGGCAGAUUUUCCUAUCUCCAAUAGGAAUCCAUGUCCAUAACACUGGCAGAUCCAUCGCCAGAAGAAAGACUAGGCUUUUGUAUGUAGGAUCUCACUGUCUCAAACAGUGAGUCUCAAAACAGACAAGGGGAAAAAAAAUCCUCCUCCAUCUGUUCCAAUGAAGAAACAGGCAGAGAAAGAACACGUGGAUCUCCAAGUUUCCUCCCAUAUUAGGUGGUAAAGCUGGCAUGGAUUCCGGGUCUUAGAAACUCUAAACUGGGGAUGGAUGGGGGCGUAGCUUGGUGGUGGAACAUUUGUCUAACAUUUGUGGGGCCCCAGGUUGGAUCCCCAGCGUUGAAAAACAAACAAAACAAAACAAAACAAAAACCCCAGAAUUCCAAAAGCAAGCACUCUCUCUUGGAGGCUCCAGCUGAGGUACAUUUUCUGUGGAACAAGUUCCCCUAGAGGAGCGAUAGACAGAGAAAACUGGAGAACAACGCCUUAGCCUGCUAACGCGGUUGGAGGUUCCUACAGACGUGUUCCAAGGCAAGAACGAAUGACAAGAAUAGUGACUUAAAACGAUCUCCUUUGAAGGUGCGUGAACAGUAGCAGACACGCAUUCAUGCUGCUAUCAGUGUUGGGCGGGGGCUCUGCUUUUAUGAACAGCUCUUCGGGCAUCACCUUCCUGGUCUCCAGACCAUCUAAUGCUGACAGGAGCCGUGAGUAUCACUGACACCCGGAAUGACAGAGGUUACAGGCGCUCUUACCUGAGGCGCUUUCUCUGUUUACAGGUGUCAUUCUGGGUGUCAUGUGGCUAGGGACCCAGACAAAGUCACCUGGAGGCAGCUUAGAGCAUUCCCUCCGAGGUUGAGGUUAAUCCUGAUGUGACUGCUUGUCCUAGUUGGUAUAUUUGUGUUUGGGGAAGAAAGACUUACCCCUUAAUGUAAGUGUUUCCAGAUCAUUUACAAUGUGUCCACUGAGACAUGCCUUCUUCCCAUGGGUAAAUUAUUAUUUAGCAGAAUAGACCACGAUGUCCUCUCUUACAUCUCACUCAAAAACACCCCAAAAUAAAACAGAAACAACCCUCCCAAAAACAACAACAAAAAUAAAACCACUGUCCUUUUUCCCUACAUGAGACUUUUAGAGGUGAGGGUAGUAAACAACAUAGAUUAAAAAAAAAACUAUAUUAUUUGUGUGUGUGUGUGUGUGUGUGUGUGUGUGUGUGUGUGUGUGUGUGUGUGUGUGUCUGUCCACAGAAGUCAAAAGAUGAUCUCUUAUCCCAUGAUACUUGACUCAGGGGCAUUUGUGAGUUUCCCAACACAGAUGUUGGGCAACAGACUCAGGUCUAAUGCAAGAGUGGUUUGCAUUCCAAUCUCAGAGCAAUCUCUCCAGUCUUAGCACAGGUUUCUAAAUCAGGGAAAUCUCGUAUCCUAGAAGCAAGCACGUGACAGGGUCAGGGUAGCUGGUCUCUCAGCCCCCUGGUGAGACCCGCUGGUCAGAAGGUCAUCAGUAAUGACGUCUUGAGUCUAUUCCAAGUAUCCUCUCAUUCAGCCUUGCUGUGGCUGACUGUGGUCCCCAGGGCUUCCUACCCUGGCUGUUUGGUCCUUGGGAUGGUGCUGUUGGAAGAUAUUUGAAACUUAAAGAGAUGGGGCGUCACAGGAAGUUGACAAGUCACUGGGGAUGCUGCCCUUGCCUUUGAAGGGGAUCAUGUUAUUCUUGUGGAUUUUUAUAAGAAUGGGACAUUGAGAGAGGAGGCCUGGCUUCUGCUCCCUUUCAGGCUUCCUGUCUCACCAUGUGACCUCUCCAGAUAUGCCAUCUGCUGUGAGACCUUUGGGAGAGAUUGAACACAAGGGCCACUCAACCUCAGAUGGUCUGCCUCUGAGAGUGUGAGCGUCCCAGAUGGAUAUGUGUCUAUGGGCACACACACAGGCUGUGGGAGGCUGGUUGUCUGUGUGCAGUUGCGGGAGUGUCGGGUCAGGACUGACUGAGCUAACUCACACGGAUGGCAACAGGUGUAUUUCAUGUUUUUGUACUGUCUCAGGGUUGGGUGGGAGCGGGGUUGGGUGGGAGCGGGGUUGGGUGGGAGGUCUCGGACAAGUUGUUCUGUGCUCAGCCCCUCCUCUGGUUUAAAGAGACAGAGGGGCUGUUUCUGGUGUCUCCACUUUGGGGAGCCUGGUAGCCAUGAACUAUCACAGGGUAUCUCUGGGCCAUCAUGAAGUAGCAAUUGACUGAGACUCCUCUCUGCCUCAGCCCCUGCCUUCCUCCAUUUGGAAGCAGGUAACGUCCCAGUGAAACUGAGAGCUUCCUCCUUCUCCUUGGGAAGAACAAAGGUUUACUUCUUCAGCACAGACUUGUACAGUUCAAGGUAUGAGAACAAUGUGCUCUUGUGCCCUUGAGCCCAGGGGUGGGAUUGCUGUUAGGUUCAGAUUUUGUUGAACAUGACUGGCUCCCUGCCUCCCCGCCAUAGAUUCUUGAAGGCUCUGGGUUCAUGCUGUGCUGCUGGAGCACUAGUCCACUUGGGAAGACAGUGGGGACCUGGUGGUGGUCUCUCUGGCCUCUAGCUCGUGAGAGCUCUAGACAGGUAGCAGGAUUUCCCACAUGGGACAUGUUAUGAACUCAGAUGGCCAGAGUUAGGGUUCCUGUGAUAGAUGAUGUCUUUGUUGUCCCUGAGAGAUGAAAUGUGGGCAUUAAAAGGGGCAGAGGCUAUCACAGCUGAAUAGCCGCCAGCAUCACCAGUUAAUAGCAGCAGAUAGGGGACUGAGCAGUGAUGCACGCAGCAGCCUGGGGGAGCGUUGGAAGCGUUGUACUGCUGAGUGAACCGAGUCCCAGAAUGUUCCACAGUGUACCAUUCCAUUUUUGUGACAUUCUGGAGAAGACAGAAUGUGAGUGACGGAGAACAGAUCCAUGGUUGCCAGGGGCAGGAGAGAGGUGCUGUGCAACCCUGAGUGAACAGACGGAGGAAGUGUUUGGGGAUGAUGGGACGCUUAUAUACCCGUCACCACCCAGCCAGGUGGUGGCCACGUGACUCUGCAUGUGACAGAACUCGUGGUGCUGAACAUCGAGAUCAUUUGGAAAUAAAGUAUCAGAAGAGCAGGUGUCAUCUGAAUGCAGUCACCUCUGGCUACGGCCCCUCACCCCAUAAGUCACCUCAUGGUAGCAACUUUCAACUCGGGGCUCACUCCGUUAUGUCAGCAGCUUCUGGGUUCACUCAAGAGUAUGAGCCGGUUUCCUGUUGUAUGAAAACAAACGGCAGAGUUGCGCCUCUGCUCCAGACUUGCGCCUCUGCUCCAGACUUGGCCUGGAAGACAAAGGUGUGGAAGAUUCUCCUGGGGUAAACUGACUUCAGGAAAAGCUGCAGCUGCCCACAGAGCCGCUGUGAUGUGCUGGCUGCUUUUCUCUGCAGACAUCCUGCCAGACCCAAGAGAAAAAUACUUCCGGAAUUCUGGAAGGCUCUCAGCCUCACUCUCCUUGGUCUGAAACCAGCCCAGGAGAUGUAACAGCAUCAAUUGGAUUGAUCAGCUCAAGCCUGAGCCAUCGACUCCCAUCUCAGGCUACACCGUGUAUUAAGAGUGUGGCCUCACUAGAUUCUUACGGAAUCCAGGCUCUCAACUUAGUUUCCAGUUCUGCUCAAAGCAUGGUCCCCUUUGCCCAGCGGUGCCUAAGAGUAGAACAACAUUUGAAUGGAGGGAAAAUAAAAUGACCGUUAAAUCCAUCA